GCAUCAGUGGUUCAGUGGUAGAAUUUUUGCCUUUCAUGUGGGAGGGCUGGGUUUGAUUCUCAGCCAGUGUA
RNAcentral lists this transfer RNA (71 nucleotides) under Loxodonta africana (African savanna elephant). It matches the Rfam family "tRNA". Rfam says of the family: Transfer RNA (tRNA) molecules are approximately 80 nucleotides in length. Their secondary structure includes four short double-helical elements and three loops (D, anti-codon, and T loops). Lineage: Eukaryota; Metazoa; Chordata; Mammalia; Proboscidea; Elephantidae. The record is from Rfam by way of RNAcentral.